GGAAAUCAGAAAGCUCUACAAGGUAGACUGAGAUCAGUGGCACAAGAUGCCAAAGAUUGGCGAUAUAGAUGACAACAUGCCCGGGAUCUCUAGAAGCUUCGUUAGGAUUGGCAUUUGACUUGGCCUAUGACGUGAAGGUCUAGAAUUUACACACGUGAAACUUUGGAGGGGGUGGUGGUGGUGAGUUGUAAAUGAGGGUGUAUGCGGGGAAGCAACACUUAGUCCUGGAAGCUAAGGAGUAAGAGGACAGAUGUGUAGAUAUGUUGUACUGUAGACGGAAGCGGAUUAUAGUAGGCUUAAUUCGGUAGAUAACUGCGAGCCGUUGACGUUUUGUAAACUGGACAAGGAUAUGGGCAGGGCUGUUUAACUGGAAAUCACUUGUCUCUGGUUCGUGAAAAGACAGAAAGCGAAUCAGGUGAAGCAAGAGAUACUGUAGACCUGCACCAGGUUACUAUUACUGGAAAAGAAUGGAUGGAAAAAACAUACCAGAUAGGCUGGUCAGGAAAUGAUGACUAAUUAGGAAUGGAAAUGGGAUGAGUGGGAGGGAAAACCCAAGACUGGAUUCUUCUCUGAACGAUUCAUGAGCUAAAAAUGUAUUCUGGCUGGGCACGGUGGCUCACGCCUGUAAUCCCAGCACUUUGGGAGGCCGAGGCGGGCGGAUCAUAAGGUCAAGAGAUAGAGACCAUCCUGGCCAUGGUGAAACCCCGUCUCUACUAAAAAUACAAAAAUUAGCUGGGCAUAGUGGCACGUGCCUGUGGUUCCAGCUACUCGGGAGGCUGAGGUGAAAGAAUCGCUUGAACCCAGUAGGCGGAGGUUGCAGUGAGCCGAGAUUGCGCCACUGCACUCCAGCCUGGCGACAGAGCAAGACUCCGUCUCAAAAAAAAAAAAAAAAAAGUAUUCUAUUGGUUUUCCCAUGAUUUUGCUGAUUCCCCUGUGUUGUGGAAUUACAAGCCUUUCAUCACAAGAAUAUUCUAAAUAUUUUUCAGACUUAGGUUAUUUAUCUAACACCUGGAGGGUAUGGACAGAUCAGUUGGCACAAGUUGAUUACAACUUCUGGCAGACAAGCUUCUUGGAAGUCAUUAAAGCCUCAGUUUCAGUUUCUUUAUCUAUAAAGCAUAGAAUCGCCGGGCGCGGUGGCUCACGCCUGUAAUCUUAGCACUUUGGGAGGCGGAGGUGGGUGGAUCACCUGAGGUCAGGAGUUCAAGACCAGCCUGGCCAUCAUGGUGAAACCCAAUCUUAAAAAACAAAACCAAACAAAAAACAAAACACCCCCCCCCCAUAGAAUCAUACCUUAAUCAUUAGAUGAAAUAAAAGGUGAUAAUAUUGUGACUGGGCGGGGUGGCUCGUGCCUGUAAUCCCAGCACUUUGGGAGGCCGAGGGGGGCGGAUUAUGAGGUCAGGAGUUGGAGAUCAGCCUGACCAACGAGAUGAAAACCCGUCUCUACUAAAAAGAAAAAAAUUUUGCCGGGUGUGGUGGCGCCCGCCUGUAAUCCCAGCUACUCUCAGGAUGCUGAGACAGGAAAAUCGCUUGAACUCGGGAGGCAGAGGUUGCAGUGAGCCAAGAUCGUGCCACUGCACUCCAGCCUGGGAAAGAGGGAAACUCCAUCUCAAAAAAAAAAAAAAAAAAAAAAGGUGAUAAUAAGCCACUCUAGGCACGCUGCCUAUGGGGUAGCCCUGCUUCACAAGGAGCAGUAGUUGUAAAAAGAACAUUUUUUUAAAAGGUGAUAAAAUUAGCCUAUAAAAAGUUUUUUGCAAAUAUAGCAAUGCUGAUUUUGAAUCUAGGUGGUGGGUAUACAUGGGUAUAGAGACUAUGGCAAAAAUGUUCCCUUUGCCUUCUGAAGUUCGCUGAAAAAUCAACUCACAAAAGGCAGAUUAAUGGGAGGAGAAAAGGCACAUACAUUCAUUAACAUUUGCUCAGGGAGAAUCACACAGUGAUUUCCCACACACAACGGGGUUCAGAAGCUUGUCUAUCAUCCUGGAAAACAGAUUUGGGGAGAGGGGAGCUGAGGCAUUCUGUUGAGGGGAUAAAUAGGGAAAAGUGGAUGGAUCAGGGCACAGGGAUGAACUUGCACCAAGGGGUCUGUUCAGGUGAUUAUAUUUUUGGUCUUACAGGGAGGGAAGGAAAAACAAGUUGUUCCUUUUGGUGAGUCUGGAUUGUAGCCAGAUAAAGGAGCUUCAUCUUCCUCUUGUGCUUUGGGAGAGAUGGUACAGGACAGUGAGGUCAGAGAGACCUCGAGGCUUCAGUUCAUUCAGCAAGUCAAAGCCCCAUAUUUUGGGGUAUCGGUUUCUGAGUCCCGGCAUGAGUGUUCACUUACAAUUAUUUCCCCCCCAAAUAUUUGGAGAGUUUCAUAAUAAAAUAUUGGGGAGGGCCAGUGCAGUAGCACAGGCCUGUAAUCCCAACACUCUGGGAGACCAAGGUGGGUGGAUCACCUGAGGUUGAGAGUUCGAGACCAGCCUGACCAACAUGGAGAAACCCCAUCUCUAUUAACAGUACAAAAAAAAAUUAGCCAGGUGUGGUGUUGCAUGCCUGUAAUUUUAGCUACUCCGGAGGCUGGGGCAGGAGAAUUGCUACUCAGCAGGCGGAGUUUGUAGUGAGCCAAGACUGCACCUUUGCACUCUAGCCUGGGCAACAAGAGCAAAACUCCGUCUCAGAAAAAAAAAACAAACUAUCACGAUACUGGUGGGAGUGUCUUUUAUCAUGCUAAUGCAUUACAAUUAGUACACUAUGAGCAGUGAGGACAACCAGAGGUCACCUUCAUCACUGUCUUGGCUGUGGUGGGUUUUGGCUGGUUUCUUUUUUUUUUCUUUUCUCUUUCUUUUUUUUUAAAGAUGGAGUCUCCCUCUGUCACCCAGGCUGUAGUGCAAAGGCGCCAUCUUGGCUCAUUGCAUCCUCUGCCUCCUGGGGUCAAGCGAUUCUCCUGCCUCAGCCUUCUGAGUAGCUGGGACUACAGGCACGUGCCACCACAUUCAACUAAAUUUGUAGUAGAGAUGUGGUUUCAUUAUAUUAGCCAGGCUGGUCUCAUACUCCUGACCUUGUGAUUUGUCCACCUUGGCCUCCCAAAGUGUUGGGAUUACAGACGUGAGCCAAGGCACUCGGCUGGCUGGUUUCUUUAUCAAAUCCUCUUUCAUCAGCUGAUCUAUAUCUUGUGCCGACCUCCUAUCUCAUCCUGUGUUAGAAACCCCUAACCUCCUGACAAUGCAGCCCAGUAGGUCUCAGCCUCCAUUCAAGAUGGAGUUGCUCUGGUUCCAGCACCUCUGACAUAAAUACCUAAUUGCCUAGAGUCAGGAGAGGCUUUUUGAAAAAGUGACUGCCAAGUGGAGAGGUAUCACAGAGGAUAUCCACAGAGAAGAGAACACUAAGGCAAGGAAAGAAGGUGUGUUCCAGGAACAGCAUGUACUACAAUUUGAUAAGGGUUGAAUGUGGGGUGCUCACAGGGAGUGGCAGCAGAUGAGGUGGAAGCCGUGGGCAAGAACCCAAGGUGACAGCUUUGAGAGGAGUUUGGACUUUAUCCUGAAGGUUCUGUGGACCCACUGAAAGGCUAAACAGACAGGUUGUACUAACACAAUUGCAUUCUUGAAGGAUUAUUGGAUCAUUCUACCAGCAGUGUUGAAAUGGAUAAGGACAGUGACGAUGAGGAAGAGUGUAUACAGGUUCAGAAACUCUGGAGAUGGGGCAGGGUAUGUAUUGGUUAUUAGUUCAUUUUUUAUUAAAUUUUUUGAGAGGUUUCUUUUUGUCAUCUAGGCUGGAGUGCAGUGGUGAGAUGAUAGCUCACUAUAACCUCCAAUAUCUGGGCUCAAACGAUUCUCCUGCCUCAGCCUCCCAAGCAGCUGAGACUACAGGCAUGCACCAUCAUGUUUGGAAAACUCUGCCCCUACCGCAAAAUCUCUCUCUCUUUCCCUCCCCCACAAAGAGGCUCCCUUAUCUCUCACUUUACAUACCGGCCCUAGCCCUCCCGCCGCCCAGCUUCCCGCCCAGCAGUUCAAACUGACCAACAGUUGCCCACCACCUCGGCUUUUGGCUUCCCCACCCCCCAGCCCUUCAGCCCCCUAUAAAACAACCCUGCCCCUCUGAGCGGCGCGGCCAUUUUUCCUUUUCGUCCCGGCUGGCCUGCCCGGAGGCUCUUUCCUCUCAAUAAAGCCUGAACUUAAGGAAUUUCCUCUAGCCUGCGGUCCGGUUUUUUCCGAACGAGCUCAGUCUUCCCGCAGAGGGUAGGUCGGACAAAUGGUGCCGGAAACCCGGGACGGGAGCUGAGGCCGUUGGCCCGGCCACGGCCCCCCUCCCCGACCUACCCAACACUGGCCCUGCCACCUCCACGUUCCGAUUAAGGCUGGAUUGAAGCUUACCCCACAGCCUCUGAGUCUGCCGGGACAGUAGCCACUCAUCUCAUUCAAGACAUCAUCCCACGCUUUGGACUCCCAGCUACCAUACAGUCAGACAACGGCCUAGCCUUUAUCUCCAAAGUCACUAAUGCCGUUUCUACCUCUCUAGGAAUUCAGUAGAAGCUACAUGCCGCCUACCAUCCCCAGUCCUCUGGUAAGGUAGAACGGGCCAAUGGCCUAAUAAAGGAGCAUCUGACCAAGCUCAUGCUUGAGCUCCGCCAAUCCUGGGUAACCUGACUUCCUAUCGCCCUCACCAGAGUAAGAGCAAGCCCCCGGGGCCCAUCACAGCUUAGCCCAUUUGAGCUGCUGUAUGGUUGCCCCUUCCUGCUUUCAACUCCCCCACCGCCAGAGACUACUCCUCUAGACAGCUACCUCCCCUACUUUACUCAGGAUUAGGAGGAGGGGCACUAGUCCACUCUCACCUGGCUAUAGCCCGACUGACCUCGCAAUUCCAAGCAGCUAUUAAUGACUCUACUGAGUCUUUAGCAUCACUCCAAUGACAGAUCACCUCAGUUGCCCAAGUUGCCUUGCAGAACCGAAGAGCCCUGGACCUGCUCACUGCUGAACGAGGAGGGACCUGUAUCUUCCUACAAGAAGAGUGCUGUUACUACAUCAAUGAAUCCGGCCUAGUAGAAACCCGAAUCGAGAGCCUCCAGAAACUCAAAACUAACCUGUAGAGUCAGAAGUUCUCGGCUGAAGCCACAGCGUGGUGGUCUUCCUCUAUGUAUACCCUCUUGUCACCAUUGCUUGGGCCCCUAAUAGCUGUUUGCCUAAUCUUACUUAUUGCUCCUUGCUUUCUCCAGUUCCUACAGCGGCUCUUUCAAGAACUGACUGGAGUCACCAUCCACCAGAUGCUGCUCCAACCCCACCCUGAACGAGUGCAAGAAACAGACCUCUCCCCAAA
Molecule: non-coding RNA, 5283 nt
Organism: Callithrix jacchus (white-tufted-ear marmoset)
Lineage: Eukaryota; Metazoa; Chordata; Mammalia; Primates; Cebidae
Source: RefSeq, a predicted model, not a curated record